CGUAGUCGUACACGGUAGCCGUACUCGGAACCGGUAGCCGUAGAGGUUGAUCUGGGUCCCGCUGACGAGCGGCGGACGGGUGAGUAAUGCUUAGGAAUCUGCCCAGUAUUGGGGGAUAGCCCGGGGAAACCCGGAUUAAUACCGCAUACGUCCUACGGGAGAAAGCAGGGGAUCUUCGGACCUUGCGCUAUUGGAUGAGCCUAAGUCGGAUUAGCUAGUUGGUGGGGUAAAGGCCUACCAAGGCGACGAUCCGUAGCUGGUCUGAGAGGAUGAUCAGCCACAUCGGGACUGAGACACGGCCCGAACUCCUACGGGAGGCAGCAGUGGGGAAUAUUGGACAAUGGGGGCAACCCUGAUCCAGCCAUGCCGCGUGUGUGAAGAAGGCUUUCGGGUUGUAAAGCACUUUCAGUAGGGAGGAAAACCUUAUGGUUAAUACCCAUGAGGCUUGACGUUACCUACAGAAGAAGCACCGGCUAACU
RNAcentral lists this ribosomal RNA (479 nucleotides) under Marinobacter nauticus. Its description in RNAcentral is "bacterial SSU rRNA". It matches the Rfam family "Bacterial small subunit ribosomal RNA", at positions 47 to 502 of the family's 1533-position model. Lineage: Bacteria; Pseudomonadati; Pseudomonadota; Gammaproteobacteria; Pseudomonadales; Marinobacteraceae. The record is from RNAcentral.